AAAGGUGUGUUUGACUUUUACGAUCGUCUUGGUGGUUUGCUCUUGAGUUUCUUUUAGAAUCCACGAAGCGUUAAAGCUUUCUGGCCAGCCUGAGGACUUAGAGGGGUCAGGAUAUGAAUUCAGCGGUUCUGGUUCAGGGGGUUCGCCAGACCAAGGUGAAAUUGAAAAUAUCAAUCAUCAACCCAACAGCAAAGGAGCCAAGAAUACUUGGAUUGUAUCCAUACAUGAAGAUGCACACAAAGACGGCGGAUCAGGAUUUGUCAUUGUGGCAAACAGCAAGAGUCCCUUAGAAAACAAAGAAAUCGUCACCGCUGUUGUCACGGGAGGAGUUAUAGGAGUGGCCGCUGCAGUUUUACUGGGAGCAGUGUUAAUCUACAUGUGGAAGAAAAAAGAUACCAGAGGAUACAUUCCGGGUCAACAACGGGCCUCAGAUGCAGUUUAUCAUGGACCCAACAGGGAGGUAGUUGUUGUUUAACCUUAAACUUGCACAGCAUGGUUUACGCUCUGAGGCCAAUGUCUGUAACUACUGCAAAGGGGGUAUUUGCUUGUUUUCUGGAGUGAAGGAUGGGAAAUGACAGUUACACUUGCACUUAAGGAAAUGUAGCUGUAGUUUUUUAUUUGAUAGUAUUUAUAAUUAUUAUGAAAUAUAAGAGCUCUUUAUUUACUAAUAAUCUUUAUUUAUUACUAACACAAAACAAUCAAAUGGGUAAAACCAGAUAAAAAUAAUAUAAAUAAAUCGAAUCAAAUGUGUUGCAUGUAAAAAUGACAAGAUUAAGCCACACAGCAAACGUUAGUCUUCAGAAGAUUGGUUGCUGUGACUUUGAAUUGCAGUUGUAUGAAUUGUACAGAAAAUAUUUAAGAGACCCUUUUUAUGGAAAGGAUUUUGGUGUCACAGUAUGAAAAUAGGUCUGCCAUUAAAUGUCAUUAUGGCAGCGCUGGACUUCACAAACUGUUACAACACAAGUUUGAGACUUCAGUCUUGUGUUCUUAACUAUUAAUCAAACUUUCCUAGACCAUAAAAAUAUUAUAUUGGAAUAAGUUAAUUUAGGUGAUGUUCCCCUAUUAGUAACAGUUUUUCUAAAACCAUGUCUACACGCCUUGUUUUACUAAAUAAAUAAUCCAUGUGAUGUGACAUAUGAAUGAAGAAUUUAAGGGGAAACUCAUGCGAGGGGUUUCCAAUGGAUGCAAUGAUGAUCCGCUGCUGAAAUAUAUGAUUAUAUUUAUGAUUUGAUUAUCGGGCAACGUACAACUUGGGCUAAUUGAUCACUGCAAUGUAGGUGUGGAUGUGAGCGUGGCUGGUUGUCUAACUCUAUGUGUAACGGCUAAUGGAUGGAUGAAUGUAUGCCAAGAAAUUCCAUGCACUCUGUUUAUAUUACAUGAUUGUUGAUACAUUUGCCGUACAACUUUUAACCCUUGCAUAUCAUAAUGAAAGGCUCUUGUGUACAUACCUUUGCACCUUGUGUGUUACACAAUAUAUAUAUAUAUAUAUAUAUAUAUAUAUAUAUAUAUAUAUAGCUAAUUUGAGUAUCGAUGAGUGAUUUUAUGUGGAAAUAGGUACUAUGUAUAAUCAGAACUGACAUAGAAUUAUCUGGGCAAUAGGGCAAUAAUAAUCUGUGGGCCCCUACUAAACCAGCAUCUGAUUCUCCUAUCAUCUUGCAUUUUGUGCAUUUUGUAUAUUUGUAUUAAUUCAUGGUAUUU
Molecule: long non-coding RNA, 1698 nt
Organism: Gasterosteus aculeatus aculeatus (three-spined stickleback)
Lineage: Eukaryota; Metazoa; Chordata; Actinopteri; Perciformes; Gasterosteidae
Source: Ensembl